Molecule: long non-coding RNA, 2058 nt
Filed under: Mus musculus (house mouse)
Lineage: Eukaryota; Metazoa; Chordata; Mammalia; Rodentia; Muridae
Description: long non-coding RNA chr13:54581596-54583654
Source: RNAcentral
GCUUUUGUACUAACUGUGCCAACACCCAUGUUUACACAAGUCUAGAGAAGGAAGGAGCCGGAGUCCUGGAACAAGACUGGAGCUAGGGGGUUGGGGGGGGGGGGGUCAGCCUCAGAAUGGCAUUUUAUUUAUUUAUUUAUGUAUUUAUCAAAGGAAUGGGCCAAAGUUCUAGGUUCUGUUUCUAGGUGCUGUAAUGAAAACCCUAGGAGACUGUCAGAAAAGCUGAAGCUUAGAACUGUUUGGAAUUAUGAUUGAGAUUAGGUAACCUAUAGCUGUCAAUGGAGACACAGAACUGUAGCUUUCCCCUCCCCUCCCCUCCCCUCCCCCAAACUGGCCUUGAGACCAUAACUGGAAGCAAGUACCUCAAGGAGACCUAGUACUCAUGGUCCAGGACUUAGGAUAGGACUAGACGAGCCAUCAGAAUGACUCUUCCUGUGCCCACGGCGGGCACAUCACCAAGCCUUCUGGGACCAUUUAUUUGCCAGCCAAAAACAGACUGAAAUUCUGUAUUCUCUGAAGUGAACAUUCCACGACUGUGACCGAUGCAAAGCUGGACCCCAUGUUGACCCUGGUGCAGGCAAAAGAGCCUCGGUCUGCCAGGGACACUGAAUGACAACAGCACUGUUGUUUGAGACAGUGUCACUCUGUAGCUCAGGCUGGCCUUGAAUUGAUGGCACUUGUCCUUCCUCAGCCUCCCGUGCUGGGAUUAUAGGAAGCACUGUGCCAUCACGCCUGGCGCAUUCAGUCUGCUGUUUGAGAAUCACUGUGCUGUUUGCCAAUUGUCCAACAUACAGCCCAGGAAGUGGAAAGCGUCGUUAACGUGAGCACAAUCAUCAGAAGGGGGGCGGGCUGUGCCCUUGGACUCCAGCCCAUGAGAACAGAAUUACUACAGGACAAAGCACUCUCAUUACAAGGGAUUGUCCUGCUUUUGUACUAAAUAUUUAAAGAAUGACUAGGAUUUUAAAGUAGUUGAAAUUUUGUUGGACAUUGUAUGUCUGUUCUGAGGAUUCCGCCUCUCCCCAGUGCUAAAGCUUACCUUACAACCAGACUUAUUGAGAGAAUUUCUUUUUCCUAACUGAAAGACCUUUGUCUAAUGCGUUUUAUCAUGUACAAUUGUCAUAUUGUCCAAGGGGUGGGGGAGUGUUAAGAAUAAACAAUUUCACUGUGUCUCCUGAAGUGACUUUACUUGAGGCUAGACCUGGUGGUUUAUGAUCCCAGCUGCUCUGGAGAACGCACAGUCAAUCAGGCUGGAUCAGUAGGUAAAGCCUGAUGACCAGAGUUUGACCCAUAUAAACAUGGGUAGAGAGGACUGACCCCUCAAGGCAGGCUUCCCAGUGCUAGAAAACAAACACUCUCUGGGCACUCUGCACCUACACUAGUUUAGGAGGAACUAUCAACACAAGCCGGCUGCAGGACGAUGACAUCCACCCCCUGCCACAGGGCCAGACCUCAGACUUUGAUUCGGGUCUUGGCAGAUACUUUACUCCACAACCUCAGAGGCCAAAGUCCUUUCUGGCAAUCAACUUUCUCCUGCCCUUAUACCUGGAAGAUGAUGCUCUCCAGCCCAUGAGCUAGCAGCACGGGGCCAACAAGGACAACUUGUAAAGUGGAGUGUCACCAGCUCUCUACGGUGAAAGUAACAAUAAAUGCCAGAAUGGCAUUAUUCAGGGCAUCGUCCUCAUCGUGAGGACGGCUGAUACUUACAGUUCCUCAGACAGUGAGCUCCAGUCACUUACCCUCUGACCUUUGGGACAGUGAGUUCCAGUCACUUACCCUCUGACCUUUGGGACAGUGAGUUCCAGUCACUUACCCUCUGACCUUUGGGACAGUGAGCUCCAGUCACUUACCCUCUGACCUUUGGGACAGUGACUUAAUGCCUUUUAACCCUCAGAAAGGGAUCUAGCUGAUGUCCCCAGAAACCAAAAGUUUUCUGCCAGCUGGGCAAAAUGGACAAGUCUUUAAUCAAAGGACUCAGGCAGAUGGACCCCCUGAGUUGAGUUAGAGGCUAGCCUAGUCGACAUAGAGUUUCAGAACAGCCAGAGCUACAUAGACCAUCUC